RNAcentral lists this ribosomal RNA (229 nucleotides) under uncultured bacterium. RNAcentral's name for it is "partial 16S ribosomal RNA". It matches the Rfam family "Bacterial small subunit ribosomal RNA", at positions 104 to 334 of the family's 1533-position model. The record is from RNAcentral.
CGGGGUGAGUAAUGUCUGGGAAACUGCCUGAUGGAGGGGGAUAACUACUGGAAACGGUAGCUAAUACCGCAUAAUGUCUACGGACCAAAGCGGGGGACCUCCGGGCCUCGCGCCAUCAGAUGAACCCAUAUGGGAUUAGCUAGUAGGUGAGGUAACGGCUUACCUAGGCGACGAUCCCUAGCUGGUCUGAGAGGAUGAUCAGCCACACUGGGACUGAGACACGGCCCAG